Molecule: non-coding RNA, 22 nt
Filed under: Arabidopsis thaliana (thale cress)
Lineage: Eukaryota; Viridiplantae; Streptophyta; Magnoliopsida; Brassicales; Brassicaceae
Source: RNAcentral
UCUGACUUGGGUAUAGGGGCGA